ACGGAAGGCAGCAGUGGGGAAUAUUGGGCAGUGGGCGAAAGCCUGACCCAGCAACGCCGCGUGAAGGAAGAAGGUCUUCGGAUUGUAAACUUCUUUUAUGGGGGACGAACAAAUGACGGUACUCCAUGAAUAAGCCACGGCUAACUACGUGCCAGCAGUCGCGGUAAUACGUAGGUGGCAAGCGUUAUCCGGAUUUACUGGGUGUAAAGGGCGCGUAGGCGGGAAAGCAAGUCAGAUGUGAAAUCCGUGAGCUCAACUCAUGAACUGCAUUUGAAACUGUUUUUCUUGAGUGUCGGAGAGGUAGAUGGAAUUCCUAGUGUAGCGGUGAAAUGCGUAGAUAUUAGGAAGAACACCAGUGGCGAAGGCGAUCUACUGGACGAUAACUGACGCUGAGGCGCGAAAGCGUGGGGAGCAAACAGGAUUAGAUACCCUGGUA
RNAcentral lists this ribosomal RNA (436 nucleotides) under uncultured Clostridium sp. RNAcentral's name for it is "partial 16S ribosomal RNA". It matches the Rfam family "Bacterial small subunit ribosomal RNA", at positions 341 to 792 of the family's 1533-position model. The record is from RNAcentral. Lineage: Bacteria; Bacillati; Bacillota; Clostridia; Eubacteriales; Clostridiaceae.